RNAcentral lists this ribosomal RNA (256 nucleotides) under uncultured bacterium. Its description in RNAcentral is "partial 16S ribosomal RNA". It matches the Rfam family "Bacterial small subunit ribosomal RNA", at positions 524 to 777 of the family's 1533-position model. The record is from RNAcentral.
UACAGAGGUGCCAAGCGUUGUUCGGAUUUAUUUGGGCGUAAAGGGUGCGUAGGCGGUCAUGAAAGUCGGGUGUGAAAUACCGGGAGCCUAACUCCGGAACGGCAUUCGAAACUCCAUGGCUAGAGAUCUGGAGAGGUAACUGGAAUUUCUCGGUGUAGCAGUGAAAUGCGUAGAUAUCGAGAGGAACACCAGAGGCAAAAGCGAGUUACUGGACAGAAUCUGACUGCAGCACGAAAGCUAGGGGGAGCAAAACGGG